Molecule: ribosomal RNA, 254 nt
Filed under: uncultured bacterium
Lineage: Bacteria
Description: partial 16S ribosomal RNA
Rfam family: Bacterial small subunit ribosomal RNA
Source: RNAcentral
CACGCCGUAAACGAUGGGCACUAAACAUUGGCAGUAUCGACCCUGUCAGUGUUGUUUAACUAAGCUAACGCCUUAAGUGCCCCGCCUGGGAAGUACGGUCGCAAGACUAAAACUCAAAGGAAUUGACGGGAACCCGCACAAGCAGUGGAGCAUGUGGUUUAAUUCGAUGAUAAGCGAGGAACCUUACCAGGGUUUGACAUCCCUAGAAUCCCGCAGAAACGUGGGAGUGCCGCAAGGAGCUAGGUGACAGGUGC